ACUCAAAGGAAUUGACGGGGGCCCGCACAAGCGGUGGAGCAUGUGGUUUAAUUCGAUGCUACGCGAAGAACCUUACCUACUCUUGAAUCCACGGAAUCUUGCAGAGAUGCGAGAGUGCCUUCGGGAACCGUGAGACAGGUGCUGCAUGGCUGUCGUCAGCUCGUGUCGUGAGAUGUUGGGUUAAGUCCCGUAACGAGCGCAACCCUUGUCCUUAGUUACUAACGAGUUAUGUCGAGGACUCUAAGGAGACUGCCGGUGAUAAACCGGAGGAAGGUGGGGACGAUGUCAAGUCAUCAUGGCCCUUACGAGUAGGGCUACACACGUGCUACAAUGGUCGGUACAAAGGGCAGCGAAAUCGCGAGAUGGAGCAAAUCCUAAAAAGCCGAUCGUAGUCCGGAUUGGAGUCUGCAACUCGACUCCAUGAAGCUGGAAUCGCUAGUAAUCGUGGAUCAGAACGCCACGGUGAAUACGUUCUCGGGCCUUGUACACACCGCCCGU
RNAcentral lists this ribosomal RNA (498 nucleotides) under uncultured bacterium. Its description in RNAcentral is "partial 16S ribosomal RNA". It matches the Rfam family "Bacterial small subunit ribosomal RNA", at positions 899 to 1397 of the family's 1533-position model. The record is from RNAcentral.